Molecule: ribosomal RNA, 468 nt
Filed under: uncultured bacterium
Lineage: Bacteria
Description: partial 16S ribosomal RNA
Rfam family: Bacterial small subunit ribosomal RNA
Source: RNAcentral
GACGAACGCUGGCGGCGUGCUUAACACAUGCAAGUCGAACGGCAAGGCCCUGCUUUUUUGGGGUGCUCGAGUGGCGAACGGGUGAGUAACACGUGAGUAACCUGCCCUUGACUUUGGGAUAACUUCAGGAAACUGGGGCUAAUACCGUAUAGGAGCUCCUGCUGCAUGGUGGGCGUUGGAAAGUCUCGGCGGUUGGGGAUGGAUUCGCGGCUUAUCAGCUUGUUGGUGGGGUAGUGGCUUACCAAGGCUUUGAAGGGUAGCCGGCCUGAGAGGGUGACCGGCGACAAUGGGACUGAGAGACGGCCCAGACGCCUACGGGAGGCAGCAGUGGGGAAUAUUGCACAAUGGGCGGAAGCCUGAUGCAGAAACGCCGCGUGCGGGAUGACGGCCUGUGGGUUGUAAACCGCUUUCGCCUGUGACGAAGCGGGAGUGACGGUAAUGGGUAAAGAAGCACCGGCUAACUACGUG